RNAcentral lists this ribosomal RNA (246 nucleotides) under uncultured bacterium. RNAcentral describes it as "partial 16S ribosomal RNA". It matches the Rfam family "Bacterial small subunit ribosomal RNA", at positions 72 to 334 of the family's 1533-position model. The record is from RNAcentral.
CCCCUUCGGGGGCAGUGGCAGACGGCUGAGUAACGCGUAGGAACCUGCCCCGGGGUGGGGGACAACCUCCCGAAAGGGGGGCUAAUACCGCAUACGGUCCCGCUUUGGCGGGAAGAAAGCCCUUGGGUGCCCUGGGAGGGGCCUGCGUCCGAUUAGCUGGUUGGUGGGGUAAUGGCCUACCAAGGCACCGAUCGGUAGCUGGUCUGAGAGGAUGAUCAGCCAGACUGGGACUGGGACACGGCCCAG